GACGAACGCUGGCGGCGUGCUUAACACAUGCAAGUCGAACGGAAAGGCCCUGCUUUUGCUGGGUGCUCGAGUGGCGAACGGGUGAGUAACACGUGAGUAACCUGCCCUUGACUUUGGGAUAACUUCAGGAAACUGGGGCUAAUACCGGAUAGGAGCUCCUGCUGCAUGGUGUGGGUUGGAAAGUUUCGGCGGUUGGGGAUGGUCUCGCGGCUUAUGAGCUUGUUGGUGAGGUAGUGGCUUACCAAGGCUUUGACGGGUAGCCGGCCUGAGAGGGUGACCGGCCACAUUGGGACUGAGAUACGGCCCAGACUCCUACGGGAGGCAGCAGUGGGGAAUAUUGCACAGUGGGCGGAAGCCUGAUGCAGCAACGCCGCGUGCGGGAUAACGGCCUUCGGGUUGUAAACCGCUUUCGCCUGUGACGAAGAGUGAGUGACGGUAAUGGGUAAAGAAGCACCGGCUAACUACGUG
This 468-nucleotide ribosomal RNA is filed under the name uncultured bacterium. RNAcentral's name for it is "partial 16S ribosomal RNA". It matches the Rfam family "Bacterial small subunit ribosomal RNA", at positions 28 to 507 of the family's 1533-position model. The record is from RNAcentral.